RNAcentral lists this unclassified non-coding RNA (338 nucleotides) under soil metagenome. RNAcentral's name for it is "partial contains 5.8S ribosomal RNA, internal transcribed spacer 2, and large subunit ribosomal RNA". The stretch from base 1 to 120 matches the Rfam family "5.8S ribosomal RNA", at positions 35 to 154 of the family's 154-position model. The record is from RNAcentral.
GAUGAAGAACGUAGCGAAAUGCGAUAAGUAGUGUGAAUUGCAGAAUUCAGUGAAUCAUCGAAUCUUUGAACGCACAUUGCGCCCCUUGGUAUUCCAUGGGGCAUGCCUGUUCGAGCGUCAUUUCGACCCUCAAGCAUUGCUUGGUGUUGGGGCACCGCCUGUAAAAGGGCGGGCCCUGAAAUCUAGUGGCGAGCUCGCCAGGACCCCGAGCGUAGUAAUUAUAUUUCGUUCUGGAAGGCCCUGGCGGUGCCCUGCCGUUAAACCCCCAACUUCUGAAAAUUUGACCUCGGAUCAGGUAGGAAUACCCGCUGAACUUAAGCAUAUCAAUAAGCGGAGGA